RNAcentral lists this ribosomal RNA (451 nucleotides) under Cyclospora sp. Its description in RNAcentral is "SSU rRNA". It matches the Rfam family "Eukaryotic small subunit ribosomal RNA", at positions 580 to 1034 of the family's 1831-position model. Lineage: Eukaryota; Apicomplexa; Conoidasida; Eucoccidiorida; Eimeriidae. The record is from RNAcentral.
UAAUUCCAGGCUCAAUAGUGUAUAUUAGAGUUGUUGCAGUUAAAAAGCUCGUAGUUGGAUUUCUGCUGUGGUCAUCCGGUGCCGCCCGUACGGGUGCGCACCUGGUUUGGCUGCGGCUUUCUUCCUGUAGCCUUCCGCGCUUAAUUGCGUGUGUUGUGCUGCGGAACUUUUACUUUGAGAAAAAUAGAGUGUUUCAAGCAGGCUUGUCGCCCUGAAUACUUCAGCAUGGAAUAAUAGGAUAGGACCUUGGUUCUAUUUUGUUGGUUUCUAGGACCAAGGUAAUGAUUAAUAGGGACAGUUGGGGGCAUUCGUAUUUAACUGUCAGAGGUGAAAUUCUUAGAUUUGUUAAAGACGAACUACUGCGAAAGCAUUUGCCAAGGAUGUUUUCAUUAAUCAAGAACGACAGUAGGGGGUUUGAAGACGAUUAAAUACCGUCGUAAUCUCUACCAUA